AUGCCAUCAACCCUGCUGGUAGAACAGUUGUUGGGUCACAUAGUGCCCCAUCCCCAUUCUGCCAUGAGAAUAUUGUGCCAUUCCUAUAAACCUGUAGUGCAUACACUCUGUUGUAUGUUCUUCCUCUGUUCGAAAAUUCCACUCACGCAAGCAAGAAGUAUUUCACUACCUUACUCCAGUAAUUCAGUGCAUACAUUUGUUGCUCGUCGUGAUUGCAACCUGAACAGAGUAACAAAAUUGUCAGUUUGGCGCAUGGAUGGAUCAAUGGAAAAACAUUGUCACAUUGGCAUGCAUAGGUGUUCUAAAACUGUAAAAAAAAAUAGCAUCUACAUCUACACACACACAAGGAACAAUUGCAGAGAAACAUAUUGA
This 372-nucleotide ribosomal RNA is filed under the name Triticum aestivum (bread wheat). RNAcentral's name for it is "partial small subunit ribosomal RNA". The record is from RNAcentral. Lineage: Eukaryota; Viridiplantae; Streptophyta; Magnoliopsida; Poales; Poaceae.